Molecule: ribosomal RNA, 253 nt
Filed under: uncultured bacterium
Lineage: Bacteria
Description: partial 16S ribosomal RNA
Rfam family: Bacterial small subunit ribosomal RNA
Source: RNAcentral
UACGGAGGGGGCUAGCGUUGUUCGGAAUUACUGGGCGUAAAGCGCACGUAGGCGGCUUUGCAAGUUAGAGGUGAAAGCCCGGGGCUCAACUCCGGAAUUGCCUUUUAAACUGCAUCGCUAGAAUUGUGGAGAGGUAAGUGGAAUUCCGAGUGUAGAGGUGAAAUUCGUAGAUAUUCGGAAGAACACCAGUGGCGAAGGCGACUUACUGGACACAUAUUGACGCUGAGGUGCGAAAGCGUGGGGAGCAAACAGG